Molecule: non-coding RNA, 319 nt
Organism: Bemisia tabaci
Lineage: Eukaryota; Metazoa; Arthropoda; Insecta; Hemiptera; Aleyrodidae
Source: RefSeq, a predicted model, not a curated record
ACCUAGGAGAGAGACAAAGUAUGAUCAGUACCCAACAUGGAACUAAUGACGCGGUAUAAAUCGGAUAUUAUUUUCAUUCGAUAGAAAAAGACGGGUUGUUUUCGUGAAUACAUUGUCUGCCAGUGUUUGAAACACACGCCGGCCAAACAGCAAUUUGCCGCGCUUAAAAUUAAAGAUGAUGAUUAGUGCAAACGCACCUGGUCUGGGGCGAUGAUUCCAGGACAAUUGGGGCCAAUCAAUCGGGAUUUGUUUUGUUCGACAAGCCGCCGUUUCACUUUGACCAUAUCUUGUUGAGGAAUACCUUCGGUGAUGCAAACAA